GUAGAAACAAGAAUUUGUCCACUGGCUCUAUCUGAAUGCCAACUAAUGGGCACAAGGUUCUUGUGAGAACGAAAAUACUACAAAUAUGAGUGAUGGUUCCUAAGGCGUGAGCCUCUGUCAGUAUUAUGAGUAUACAGCAUAAGCUUCAACCUUGGCAGGAGACAAAUUAGUGGCCACCUAUGAGGUACAACAUAAAAAAUUCCAGAUAAGUUCCUGUUUCUUAGUGAUUCUCCCUCCAUUCUCCAAUACCCUCCACAGUUCAUUAUUAGAGCUUCAUUUAGUCAAGCUUUGGAGGGUUUUUGGUCUUCAAAUGCCCCUUAUUUAAACCUGUGAGCCCUUAAAUCGCUUCCAUCUCAUACCUUAGUGAGUUUAGCUGAAGGUGAAGAGGAGCAGAAUCAUACAGAAUAGAAGUCAAGAGGGGAAGGGAAGAGUGGAGGGCCUUGGAGGUUCAUGAGAGGGUCAAAGAGGGGACCAGGAGGACUGAAAACAAAGUCCACACUCAGCCUAGUUUUGCUUUAGCCAGACCUUGUUAAUAUAUGUUGCUUGGCUGUCAUUCUUUUUGUAUCCAGCAGCUUACAAUUAGCCUUGAUGGCUGAUGAAGCAAAAGUGAAAAGAACAUGUGAUUUUUUUUUUUUAACUUUUAAAUGUUAUCUCUGGACCUGUCUCAGCCCACACAGAGGUCAGAGAGGAAGGUGGGGGCUGCUGGCAAGAGGGGGACCUGCCUUGUGGUUUGAGCCCAAAGCCGAUGGGGCUUCCCACCAGCAGCCCUAGCUUGGCAGCAUGGCACUGGAGGCAUGCCUCUUUGGAAACGUAUCGGAGCCCUGCCUAACUGUGUCUGCUCCUCCUCAACAUGCUUCCUUUUCCAUCUACAGUAUUUAGAAAGAUGAGAGACAACGCUGCGAAGAACACAAAGGCUUUUGCAAUUCCGUCUCUGGCUUCACAUUCAAAGCUGUUGCUAUCAGGGUUGGAUUUAGCAACUUGGCAUUCACUUCACAGGACCACCCCUGUUGGCGGCCAUCUGGAGUCUUUUGGAGAAUUUUUAAAGAGACAGUGCUUAGAGAGCAUUUGGUAGUGGAGAAAGCUCUAGUAUUCAAUCCAGGAAGCCUGGUCUGCGCCCACGAUGAGUAGCUAAGUGACCUUGGGCAAUCCACUGCACUUCCUUGAACCUCUGUCUCUUCAUCAGUUCAGUGAUUUGUCAAUUUCUUGCAAGAUUUAAUAGUCUAGGGCAAAGGUCCCCAAAGUGUGGUCUCUGGAGGUGCAGCAGUCAGUAUCUAGCAGAGCCUAGUAGAAGGCACAUUCUCAGCCCCCACCCAGGCCUCCUGAAUCAAAAAUCCUGGGAGGAGGGCCCAGCAAUCUCUGUUUAAGAAACAGUCCAGGGGAUUCUGACACACAGCCAAAUUGGAGAACCACUGCUGUAGGGCUCCUUGUUCCCCUUCUGCUGUUGCCAGUGUGCCUGGGCAACACUGAUUUGCUGUUGGUCAAAAGUUUCUGACUGGUGGCCCAAGGAAGCACUCACUUGCAAAAGAUGGCUGAGCCCACAGCUGGAGAGGCCCAAAUCAGAGAGGCAGGGAACCUGGAGGAAAGCCCUGCCUCACUUCCCCAGCCCCUCCCACUGCCAAAGUUUCAGAAAACUUGGAGGCUUGUCUAUUGAACAGGUAUCUUUUGGGUCAUGUUCUGAACGCAGCACAUUUUUACAACGUCAAAAGAAGCAAGAGCAAAAGGGGUUUUGUUAAUGAUGCCAACUUCUGUUCUGACUAUUUUUGUCUCUAGUCCCCAUAGAUACAUGUCAUUUAGUGCUGGGCAAGGAAAAUUACUUCUUCAUUUCGGCUUUUUGUUUUUCCCCCUACUUUUUCUGACAGCUCUUGGCUUCCUCUAAGUUAUCAGGAACAACUUGCAAGUGUUGUUCUGGGUUCCACCAGGGAACUGGGGUUUCCUAGCAACAGCCAGGGCCUGCUGGGCCAUUCUCUGAGUCACCAGCUCCAGGCAGCUCCUGAUAAGCAGUGCGAGGUGCAGAGGAACCCUCUGUGGACCCCACAUGGGAGCCUGCCUCACAGGGUGAUGGGAUCUAUAAAGAAUAGACCAUAGAUAGGACCUAAAGAAUGACAUAAAUAGAGGGCUCUUCAUUCUAAACUAAAUGGAUCUUGCUUUCUGACUGUUCCAUGCAUAUGGAAGAGGGAAAAGGAAGGAGGAAGGGAGCUCUACAUCAUACCAUGGUCCCUACAGAUGGUCAGCUGACUUUCCACUGGGUUUGGCCAAUAGAAGAAAUCUGCGUGAGGAUCUCCGCCCAUGGCAAAGGUCAUGAGGAAGGAGGCUCGGCAUAUGCAAAGGCAGGAUUGAGCCUCAGGAGUCCCCCUGGAAUUUCUCGAGCAUCUACCCCCAAAACCAGAGUCUGCCUACUUUACUGCUUUGUGCUCUCACCUACACCUCUGACUUUACGGGGGGCUGUCCCCCACCACCAUCUCUCUCCUGAAUAGGUUCUUCCGGCCACAUGUGAUUGUUCAGAGCCUCCCAAAUGUGAAAGGCAUAAGAUGUUCUAAACUGUCUAAAUACAGAUUCCUUUGAGCAGUUAAAAGAUUGAUUAGAAAUUGUAUUAGUGAAGGGUUUUUCACUUGUUGGGCCAAUGUUUGCUGCUAAGUUUCCAUAUCCCUUACCUGCUGUGUCCCUGGCAGUGUAUUGAUUAAUAUAAUUGGUGUAAGUAGUAGCUUUAAUGUUUGUAACCUUGGACCCUUGUGUUAAUUCUUUUUCUUGUUAUAGCCCACCACACCUUUGCCCUAUAGGAAUGCAACUUUAUCUAAUGCUUUUGGAGGGUGGCCCCUGACUAAUCACCUUGAGAGAAAAGUAAGUUUUCUGAAGAAAGGGUCUUAAAAUGUUAACAGGCCUCCGGGCCAGAAGAUGAUGCAAAUCACCUAAACUUUUGCAUAUGAUAAGUUUGCAGGAAGAAAGCCUGGCUUACUGCAUGACUCUACCCCUUCCCCCAUUAUCCUCUAUGCAUAACUUAAGGUAUAAAAACUCCUUUGGAAAAUAA
Molecule: long non-coding RNA, 3025 nt
Organism: Bos taurus (domestic cattle)
Lineage: Eukaryota; Metazoa; Chordata; Mammalia; Artiodactyla; Bovidae
Source: Ensembl